ACACGUGGACAACCUACCCUUGGGUUCGGCAUAAUCCUGGGAAACUGGGGAUAAUACCGGAUAGGUCACAGAUGCUGGAAUGCACUGUGGCUCAAAGCUCCGGCGCCCAAGGAUGGGUCUGCGGCCUAUCAGGGUUGUAGUGGGUGUAAUGUACCUACUAGCCUACGACGGGUACGGGUUGUGAGAGCAAGAGCCCGGAGAUGGAUUCUGAGACACGAAUCCAGGCCCUACGGGGUGCAGCAGGCGCGAAAACUUUACAAUGCGGGAAACCGUGAUAAGGGAAUCUCGAGUGCCAGCAUAUAAUGUUGGCUGUCCAGAUGCCUAAAAAGCAUCUGUUAGCAAGGGCCGGGCAAGACCGGUGCCAGCCGCCGCGGUAACACCGGCGGCCCGAGUGGUAACCGCUAUUAUUGGGUCUAAAGGGUCUGUAGCCGGCCAGGUAAGUCCCUUGGGAAAUCUGGCAGCUCAACUGUCAGGCUGCUAGGGGAUACUGUUUGGCUUGGGACCGGGAGAGGUGAGAGGUACCUUGGG
This 528-nucleotide ribosomal RNA is filed under the name uncultured archaeon. RNAcentral describes it as "bacterial SSU rRNA". It matches the Rfam family "Archaeal small subunit ribosomal RNA", at positions 96 to 624 of the family's 1478-position model. The record is from RNAcentral.